GAGAGUUUGAUCCUGGCUCAGGAUGAACGCUGGCGGCAUGCCUAAUACAUGCAAGUCGAACGGGGUGCUUGCACCCAGUGGCGAACGGGUGAGUAACACGUAUCUAAUCUACCUUUUAGUGGGGGAUAACAGUUGGAAACGACUGCUAAUACCGCAUACGACAUCAUUAUCGCAUGAGAAGAUGUUGAAAGGCCCGUUUGGGUCGCUAGAAGAUGAGGAUGCGGCGUAUUAGCUAGUAGGUGGGGUAAAGGCCCACCUAGGCGAUGAUACGUAGCCGAACUGAGAGGUUGAUCGGCCACAUUGGGACUGAGAUACGGCCCAGACUCCUACGGGAGGCAGCAGUAGGGAAUUUUUCACAAUGGGCGAAAGCCUGAUGAAGCAAUGCCGCGUGAGUGAUGACGGUCUUCGGAUUGUAAAGCUCUGUUGUAAGGGAAGAACAGCUAGAAGAGGAAAUGCUUUUAGUUUGACGGUACCUUACCAGAAAGCCACGGCUAA
Molecule: ribosomal RNA, 495 nt
Filed under: Spiroplasma endosymbiont of Heliconius cydno chioneus
Lineage: Bacteria; Bacillati; Mycoplasmatota; Mollicutes; Entomoplasmatales; Spiroplasmataceae
Description: bacterial SSU rRNA
Rfam family: Bacterial small subunit ribosomal RNA
Source: RNAcentral